Molecule: ribosomal RNA, 266 nt
Filed under: uncultured bacterium
Lineage: Bacteria
Description: partial 16S ribosomal RNA
Rfam family: Bacterial small subunit ribosomal RNA
Source: RNAcentral
GUCCACGCCGUAAACGAUGAGUGCUAGGUGCUGCGGGUAUUGACCCCUGCGGUGCCGUAGCUAACGCGUUAAGCACUCCGCCUGGGGAGUACGGUCGCAAGACUAAAACUCAAAGGAAUUGACGGGGGCCCGCACAAGCGGUGGAGCAUGUGGUUCAAUUCGACGCAACGCGCAGAACCUUACCUGGGUUAAAUCCACUCGAACUUGAUAGAGAUAUCUUGGUGCCCUUCUGGGGAGCGAGUGAGAAGGUGUUGCAUGGCUGUAGU